CUAAGUUUCAACAACGGAUCUCUUGGCUCUCGCAUCGAUGAAGAACGCAGCGAAAUGCGAUAAGUAAUGUGAAUUGCAGAAUUCAGUGAAUCAUCGAAUCUUUGAACGCACCUUGCGCUCCUUGGUAUUCCUUGGAGCAUGCCUGUUUGAGUAUCA
RNAcentral lists this ribosomal RNA (156 nucleotides) under Rhizoctonia solani. Its description in RNAcentral is "5.8S ribosomal RNA". It matches the Rfam family "5.8S ribosomal RNA". From Rfam's summary of the family: 5.8S ribosomal RNA (5.8S rRNA) is a component of the large subunit of the eukaryotic ribosome. It is transcribed by RNA polymerase I as part of the 45S precursor that also contains 18S and 28S rRNA. Functionally, it is thought that 5.8S rRNA may be involved in ribosome translocation. Lineage: Eukaryota; Fungi; Basidiomycota; Agaricomycetes; Cantharellales; Ceratobasidiaceae. The record is from RNAcentral.